RNAcentral lists this signal recognition particle RNA (265 nucleotides) under Clostridia bacterium. Its description in RNAcentral is "signal recognition particle sRNA large type". It matches the Rfam family "Bacterial large signal recognition particle RNA". From Rfam's summary of the family: The signal recognition particle (SRP) is a universally conserved ribonucleoprotein involved in the co-translational targeting of proteins to membranes. Archaeal SRP consists of a 7S RNA and homologues of the eukaryotic SRP19 and SRP54 proteins. Lineage: Bacteria; Bacillati; Bacillota; Clostridia. The record is from RNAcentral.
UCACACUAACCGGGGAGGUAGCGGUGCCCUGUACCUGCAAUCCGCUAUAGCAGGGGUGAAUGUCUUACUGAGGGCCUUGUAUGUGCAGUCAGCCUUGAAGUAGAAAUGUUGAGAGCUGGGUCUUAAGCAAUUAUGCGUCGUGAACCUUGUCAGGUGGGGAACCAAGCAGCAAUAAGCGAAUUGCAUAAUGUGACUUAAGGGUGCCUUGCUUGAGUUGAAGCUUUAAGAAGCGUGUGUAUACAUUUUUCGAAGUAAGACUGUGUGG